RNAcentral lists this transfer RNA (72 nucleotides) under Chelonia mydas (Green sea turtle). It matches the Rfam family "tRNA". Rfam says of the family: Transfer RNA (tRNA) molecules are approximately 80 nucleotides in length. Their secondary structure includes four short double-helical elements and three loops (D, anti-codon, and T loops). The record is from Rfam by way of RNAcentral. Lineage: Eukaryota; Metazoa; Chordata; Testudines; Cheloniidae.
GGCAGUGCUGCUCAGUGGGCAGGGUACCAGACUGGGAGUCAGGGGACCUAGGUUCUUUUCCCAGCUCUGCUA